RNAcentral lists this ribosomal RNA (494 nucleotides) under uncultured bacterium. Its description in RNAcentral is "partial 16S ribosomal RNA". It matches the Rfam family "Bacterial small subunit ribosomal RNA", at positions 28 to 507 of the family's 1533-position model. The record is from RNAcentral.
GACGAACGCUGGCGGCGUGCUUAACACAUGCAAGUCGAACGGUGAAGCGCCUUCCUUUUUGGUGGGUGUGGAUGAGUGGCGAACGGGUGAGUAACACGUGAGUAACCUGCCCCCUUCUUCUGGAUAACCGCAUGAAAGUGUGGCUAAUACGGGAUAUUCUGGGUCUGUCGCAUGAUGGGUCUGGGAAAGAUAUUGUUUCGGGGGGGGAUGGGCUCGCGGCCUAUCAGCUUGUUGGUGGGGUGAUGGCCUACCAAGGCGGUGACGGGUAGCCGGCCUGAGAGGGUGGACGGUCACACUGGGACUGAGACACGGCCCAGACUCCUACGGGAGGCAGCAGUGGGGAAUAUUGCACAAUGGGCGCAAGCCUGAUGCAGCGACGCCGCGGGAGGGAUGGAGGCCUGCGGGUUGUGAACCUCUUUCGCCAGUGAAGCAGGCCUGCCUCGUUUGUGGGUGGGUUGACGGUAGCUGGAGAAGAAGCGCCGGCUAACUACGUG